RNAcentral lists this long non-coding RNA (642 nucleotides) under Homo sapiens (human). RNAcentral describes it as "HSALNT0350596". Lineage: Eukaryota; Metazoa; Chordata; Mammalia; Primates; Hominidae. The record is from RNAcentral.
CUCACUCACUCCACCCACUCUCCCAGCAGCCAGAGUCCUCUGAAACACAGGCCAUCGAUGACUUCCUCUGCCCUGGACUUGUACCCAAGCUCCUUACCAGACCCCCAGGACCUGGCUUUGCCCACCUCUCUGCUGGAACCCCUCUCUGCCCUGGGGCAUUGGCACAUGCCACCCCCACGACCUGGGCCCAUGCUUCUGGGAUAGCUAGGUCGGACCAGCCUUCAGGCCUCGUACCCAUGUCCACCUUGGCACGGCCUCCCCACUGCCCCCUCGUUAGCCUAUCUCCUUCCACACGGUAGCCGACAUGGCACUGACUCCAGCGUGCCACCACACAUCAGGGAUUCUUAGAGGGGAAAGAAGAAGGCCAAUCCUGAGGGUUCUGAGGAAGGAACCGCCACAAAAGGGUGGAUGUUACAGAGACCAGCAUGAAGCAUCCACCAGCGACAUGGGCAGUGAUGCUGGUAAUGAGCUCACCAUCGGGAAAGCACGCAAGAAGAGCCCAGGAUACACAGGCCCUCGGCAUCCAUGUCAUGCUGCGAUGCAUCCCAUAGAGCUCAGCCUUCCUGGUUCUAUUCCUCAGGAACUCGUGACUAUUUAGAUGAGUUCUCAGCUUUUAUUCUCAGUUAAUAAACUGAAUUUUCC